This 216-nucleotide long non-coding RNA is filed under the name Mytilus galloprovincialis (Mediterranean mussel). Lineage: Eukaryota; Metazoa; Mollusca; Bivalvia; Mytilida; Mytilidae. The record is from RNAcentral.
GGUUCUUCGAUUUGUGGUUCUUCGAUGCCCUUCAACUUUAAACUUGUUCGGCUUUCUAACUAUUUUGAUAUGAGCGUCACUGAUGAGUCUUAUGUAGACUAAAUGCGCGUCUGGCGUAUUCAAUUUUAAGCCUGCAACCUUUUUUUAAUUAGAUAAAGUAUCAAAAUCAACAAUGUAUGCAAAUUGAAAUGGUGAUAACUGCAAAAAUGAAAAUCG